GGUUUAGGGGUGGAUCUGACGUCCCUGAGUAUAUGUGGUGAACCGGAAUUUGCCUGGGGUUUCCUCAUAUUCAUUCAGGAGUGUCAGUUCUCCCUGCGC
Molecule: microRNA precursor, 99 nt
Organism: Bison bison bison
Lineage: Eukaryota; Metazoa; Chordata; Mammalia; Artiodactyla; Bovidae
Source: Ensembl